UAGGGAAUCCUCCGCAAUGGGCGAAAGCCUGACGGAGCGACGCCGCGUGAGUGAUGAAGGCCCUCGGGUUGUAAAGCUCUGUGGGGAGGGAAGAAUAAGUUCAGAUCAAUACUCUGAAUGAUGACGGUACCUCCUUAGCAAGCACCGGCUAACUCUGUGCCAGCAGCCGCGGUAAGACAGAGGGUGCGAACGUUGUUCGGAAUUACUGGGCGUAAAGCGUGUGUAGGCGGCAAGGCAAGUCGGAUGUGAAAUCCCGUGGCUCAACCAUGGACGUGCACUCGAAACUGCCUAGCUAGAGUCCCGGAGAGGAAGGUGGAAUGCUUGGUGUAGAGGUGAAAUUCGUAGAUAUCAAGCAGAACACCUGUGGCGAAGGCGGCCUUCUGGACGGUGACUGACGCUGAGACACGAAAGCGUGGGGAGCAAACAGG
RNAcentral lists this ribosomal RNA (428 nucleotides) under uncultured bacterium. RNAcentral describes it as "bacterial SSU rRNA". It matches the Rfam family "Bacterial small subunit ribosomal RNA", at positions 355 to 776 of the family's 1533-position model. The record is from RNAcentral.